GCGUAACGCGUAUGCAACCUACCUAUACAGGGGAAUAACCUUCGAAAGGGAGACUAACACCCCAUAGUAUUGAUUUAAGGCAUCUUAGAUUAAUUAAAUAUUUAUAGGUAUAAGAUGGGCAUGCGUAUGAUUAGCUAGUUGGUAAGGUAACGGCUUACCAAGGCGACGAUCAUUAGGGGUCUGAGAGGAAGUCCCCCACACUGGUACUGAGACACGGACCAGACUCCUACGGGAGGCAGCAGUGAGGAAUAUUGGUCAAUGGGCGCAAGCCUGAACCAGCCAUGCCGCGUGCAGGGAAAGACGGCCUUAUGGGUUGUAAACUGCUUUUACAUAAGACUAACCGUAUAUUUGCGAAUAUACCUGAAUGUAUUAUGAGAAUAAGGAUCGGCUAACUCCGUGCCAGCAGCGGC
RNAcentral lists this ribosomal RNA (410 nucleotides) under uncultured bacterium. RNAcentral describes it as "bacterial SSU rRNA". It matches the Rfam family "Bacterial small subunit ribosomal RNA", at positions 108 to 518 of the family's 1533-position model. The record is from RNAcentral.